AAAACUCUCCUUUCAGGAAUCCCGUCUAUAGUUCAUUACUAGAGAAGUUUCUCUGACCCUGUCGAACACCAGAAACCCCCGAGGAAGAGGCUCACCGUUCUCUCUCGAGUGUGAAACCUGCUCUGAGGGUUGUUUCUGCAACUGCCACUGGCUGUUGAUAAUUCUUCUCUUCCUUUGGGAGAGUAACAGGCAGAGGAUGCUGCUGCGUGGU
Small nucleolar RNA from Dama dama (fallow deer), 211 nucleotides. RefSeq annotates it as small nucleolar RNA U3. NCBI's taxonomy places the organism in Eukaryota, Metazoa, Chordata, Mammalia, Artiodactyla, Cervidae. The transcript has a single exon. The record is from RefSeq and is a predicted model, not a curated record.